RNAcentral lists this transfer RNA (82 nucleotides) under Vibrio phage KIT04. RNAcentral's name for it is "tRNA-Gly". The record is from RNAcentral. Lineage: Duplodnaviria; Heunggongvirae; Uroviricota; Caudoviricetes; Demerecviridae.
CGUACUGAAGACUGAGUGGUCGGUCAGCAGCCUUCCAAGCUGUCGCUCCGAAAGGGGCUGGGGUUCGACUCCCCCUGUACGC